AUUGAACGCUGGCGGUAUGCUUUACGCAUGCAAGUCGAACGGCAGCACGGGGCAACCUGGUGGCGAGUGGCGAACGGGUGAGUAACAUAUCGGAACAUGUCCGGAAGUGGGGGAUAACGUACCGAAAGGUACGCUAAUACCGCAUAUGCCCUGAGGGGGAAAGGGGGGGAUCGCAAGACCUCUCGCUUUCGGAGUGGCCGAUAUCGGAUUAGCUAGUAGGUGAGGUAAAGGCUCACCUAGGCGACGAUCCGUAGCUGGUCUGAGAGGACGACCAGCCACACUGGAACUGAGACACGGUCCAGACUCCUACGGGAGGCAGCAGUGGGGAAUUUUGGACAAUGGGCGAAAGCCUGAUCCAGCCAUACCGCGUGAGUGAAGAAGGCCUUCGGGUUGUAAAGCUCUUUCAGCCGGAAAGAAAUCGCACUGGUUAAUACCUUGUGUGGAUGACGGUACCGGAAGAAGAAGCACCGGCUAACUACGUGCCAGCCGCCGCGGUAA
Molecule: ribosomal RNA, 498 nt
Filed under: uncultured bacterium
Lineage: Bacteria
Description: partial 16S ribosomal RNA
Rfam family: Bacterial small subunit ribosomal RNA
Source: RNAcentral